Molecule: long non-coding RNA, 10555 nt
Organism: Astatotilapia calliptera (eastern happy)
Lineage: Eukaryota; Metazoa; Chordata; Actinopteri; Cichliformes; Cichlidae
Source: Ensembl
CCUGACUGUUAUGGGAUAUAGAUUAAAAAAAAAACAAACCCAAACAAAACAAAGAUUUGUCACUUCAACUAUUGUUGUUAUUAAGUAGCCGAUGUGGUUUUAAUUUGAUAAUUGAAUUUGAAUAUCGGGGAGGGGUUAGGCUAGUUGUUGAUUGAAACAGUGUUGUUUAGGAGUGGAUCAUUUAAUUUGAAUCAAAUUUGAAAUUAAAGGAAACGUCACCCCUGAUCACAGAGCACCUGUAUAACCCGUUUAAUGGUAUUGCAAAGCUAUUUCAGCAGAUGGGAGCUAAAUGCAUUGCUUUUCAUGUCCUAGCUCUCCCUGAAGGCUCAAAUAGCGUGCAGUGUUUUGAAAGGAAAUACAGUCUGAAAGCAAAACAAGUAGCUCCACUGACUGAUUGCUAUCACACUGUUUCAUGGUAUACCACAAGUUGCAAAUGGACUUUGUAGACAAUGGCAUACAUUCCUAAUUUUUCUAAAACCUAGACAACAGCAUGUACAGAAUAGAUUUGGAAGCUAGUGUGUGCAAGUUGUCAUCCCUGCAUCACAUCACUUAAGGCUCAUUUCUGAUAUUUCAAUUCUUUAUUUUUAUUUUUAUUGCUUUUUAAUCCAAAAUAGGACACACACAGACACACGCACACAUACACUCGGACACACACACACACACACACACACACAGACGCACGCACGCAACUGCCUGCAACUGCAAUCUGAAGGAUUUGCUCAUUUAUGUGAGCAAACACUUUCGUAGUUGUAUUAUUAAAAGAAUAACUAACUGCAUACGGGGGUCUUAAAAAGACCCGCUGUCGAUUUUAAAAAAAAAAGUGCUACUUUGCACAUUUUCUUAAAAUGCCUGUGCUUGAUAUUUAAUCAUUUUCCUUAAAUGAACUAUGAUUUUCUUUUAUUCAAUUUCAAAGGAAAAAAACAACAACUUUUUUAAAAAAAAUCUUGAUAAGUGGACUGCAUUAUUUUCUUGCAUAUAUGUUGCACUGCUUAAACCAAUAAGUGCACUACUGUUAACAGAGAUAUUAUAGUUUUAGAAAAGAGGAUUUUUUUUUUAAAUCUAACAUUUGGUUGUAGAGUUCACAUGUAAUAGAAUAGCUUUGUUUCAAUUUCUUCAUUAAGUACUUCAGCGAUUCUUGGCUUUUGUUAUUGCUUGCAGUUACCUACAGUAUAUAUACUUGUGCCGUGUUAAUGCAAGCACCUGUUUUUAUUUAAACCUGUACCAUUAUGUGUGCUCAUCUAUGUUUUAACCUUUGAAUUCACUCUUCUAUGGAGUCAGCUCCCUGUAACAGUUUUAUUCAACUGCAUUUCUUAGUAAAAGAGCAGAAUUUUCCUAUGAGAAACAUCCAAGCCAAACAACAUUAACAGUGCAACAACGACAGUAAUAAUAAACAAACUCCCGUCCGACGCUGUUGGCGGAGGUAAAAAAAUAAUAAUAACUAUUAUUAUAUUAUUAAUAAUAAAACAUUUAUAAAGUGUGUGUGUGUAACAUAAAUGGUAUGUGUCCUAGAACAACUUUUUUCUGUGGGGUUUAAAGGUGUAGGGGAGGUGAUGGAAUGCGGCUUCUUUGAUAUCUGUCCGUCAGUCGUACACAGUUGUGUCCCUUCCUUAGUGUCCGUAUGUCUGUGAGUGUCUGUGUGGUAUAUAGCCUAAUCAAAAUGUUGAUAAGUGGAAUAUCUGAACUGUAGGGCUUCCUUUGCAAUAUGCAGCGCAGGUACUAUGAGAAGCAGCUCUCCAAACCUUUUGGGCUAAUAAGGCACCUGUAACAGUUGUUCGGAGGAUUUUACUCAAGCUUAGGUCAAGUACUGUUGACUUCACUGUACCAGAUUGGAGAAGUUGUGUCAAGCAUUUUUGAUGCUAAAUUUCAUAUAAUUGCUACUAGAUUUCACAUCACUGCCGAGUCGGUUUCAGAUGAAGUCAAGUGACGAACAUGUGAGACCCGGUGAUGUCGGGAUUCUGGAUUCUCCUGGUCUGAAACUGAAAUAAAAAUAAAUCGGCCACACUUUAGAAAUACACUGAAAAGCCGUGAGGUUGGUCCUCAGUAAAAGUAGCACAUUAUUUAACAUUUGAUUGGGCCCGUCUCUUACGGUGUGCAUAUAAGCCUAAACUACAUGGUUCCUGUUUGUAGCUGUUGUUGCCAGGAUGGCAAUAUUGCUGCAUGCUAGUGCUAUAUUUGUCUCUACACAGCACGUGGAGGGUAAUCUCAUGCCUUAACAGACAAUGCACUAAAUAGAAAUAUGUAAGCAACUGCCGAGAUCUCUUUCCAACAGUAUUGCCACACGUAUGGCGCACAGCUCAUGAUGUUGGUGUUUGUUGUCUGUUCAGUACCAAAUAAACACUGCCAAACUAACAUCAUCACUUCUUUAACAGCAAAGGCAGAGACAUUAAUGAAAUCGUUUCAGUGUAACGUGUGUAUUCAGUAAUCUAGCAUUCCUUCAUGGCACCGAAAUUUUUACAUAUUUUGUGUAAACACGUAUAUCAAAUGCACUAUUGACUGUAGCUAGAUGAGUACAACCAGCUUUGUGGUAUCAUUGGUCUAAAUAGUAGGUUAAGUAGCUCGAUGUUGGUUUUCUUUUUCUUUUCUCCUCCAAAUAUUUGAUUUCACAAGUUCACUAUCAAUCGUUUCUCUCUAUCACUUCUUUUGGAAUAACAAAAGUAGCCAAUCUCAACGUUAUCUGGAUGAGGGCUAAAUAACUCGUCCCGUCGUCAGUUGACUUCUUGUAUCAUAAGGUGUUUGAUAGCAGACCAGGCUCGGAAGGGGAAGCACCUUCUCUCCAGUGUGUCAUAACGUGCUCAGAGCAUACCCAGGCUUCCUCCCCCUCUGUCCCCUGUCGCAUUAGCAUCACACGCUCUUCACUGUCCAUAGUUAUAUAUUCCUUAUACUGCUUCAGAUACUCGUGGUGGUGCUUAAUUCUCUUUUCUCAGUGUUGCAAAAAAAAACAAAAAAAAAACCCCAAGUCAAAAAUUGUUGAAAAGUUGCAACAUUAUCCAGAAAAAAAAAGUCCUUAUCUCAAUCGUGCUUCUUCUAGUUGUUAGACUAGACUUUAUGUUUGCAAAGUGUACGCAUAUUUUCCUGAACAAAACAUAUUGAAAAGUAGAUACUAGUCUUGAGCCUGCAGCUGUUUGUAUUGUGUUUCAGAUAUAUUCCUGUUUAUGUUUUGUUUAUCGUAGUGUAGAGACACAGGGUCUACAGUACAUUGUUGUCCUUCUUGCAGUAAGUUUAAUUCAUUGUUAUACUUCUUUAUUUCGGAGUUCCUUCUGCUUUUUUCUGGUGGUCAUAGUGGUGUUGUUUAUACAUACAUAGCUUCGCGCGACUGAAUAAAGAAUAGUCGGUUAUUUUUCACAGUGUAUUAUAUAUAUAUGCAUAUACGCUUUGCAUUUAGUUGAAAACAAGGAAAUGGAAGAUAGUAAUGGUGAGGGUGAUACUGAGUAAGGAACAGGUUCAUUUUAUUCUGAUAAGCAUGUGUCUGUCUUCCUGUUUGUCUUUAAGUCUGUCUCCACACAUUUUAAGCCAGAUUUAUUUUAUUUAGGCGCGAAGAAAGUCACAAAAGUAGAAAACACAUGAACGCAUUCAUAUAAUACUUAACAGCUUUUUUAUUUUUUUCGUUGCUUUUUUCGUCCUUCUACAGUACACAUAAGAAUGAAAUAGAUAACUUCUUACAAAUAAACUAUAUAUAUUUUAAGUAUCACCAUCUCCACACAGAUAAAGAAUACAUUUUCAGAUAGUUUGAUAAAAUUGCAGCUAGAAUAUACAAUACCUUGUGUGAUAUAGGGAGUACGCCUAUCAAGUGCCUAUCAGUACAUACAGCAACUAUACAGAAUAUUCAUAGUUUUUCUCUCCUACGUUGCACAAAUACAGAAUAUACACAGUGGACUAAUGAAAAAUAGACUAUUUAUACUAUUACUGCUAAAAACCUGGUGGUUGUGAGUGCAUAAGAGAACCCUUUAAAUACCUGAAAUGUUCUAUUCAUAUACAGUAAAGACUACAUCAGCUAGUUUUAUUUUUUAAACAUACAUGUAUACAGUUUGGAGGAUGAAAAGAUUUAAAAUGCAAUCACGCACGCCUUUGAUUGGUUGGUUUAGAUGGCAGUUGGAAAUUAAAAUAUGAAAUCCUAAUACUGGAUAGCCAUUUUGUUUUCCUGUCACAUUGCUCUCUGUCAUAGAUGAGGCUUUUUUUUUUCCAGUUUUUCACAUUUGCAAACAAGCCAUAUACUGUACUGUACUGUAUGUUUGGGGAGAAAGGGCAGUGGCAUUUUGUGAACAGCAGGGGGAGCCACACAUCAGCCAGAAGAGGUGAAGUUUAAACGAACAAAACAAAAACAAGUAGAAUCGUUGAAUAUUUUUGAUUCUCUUUGUUGGUCAUUAUGGCCGUUGCGUUUUUUCAUAUUACAAUAACAUCUGUGGGAAUGCCACUAGUUGCCUCCUCUGAGACUACAUGAAUGAAAUGGUUUGCAGUCUGUAGGAUCUGAAAGCUGCUUUAAGGUUCUUAGUUGGCUCCAAAGUACACUGUGCGCAAAUCACACCAGGCGUGCUUUGACCUUGAUGGCAGGCCCGUCCAAAUGCAAGCCAAUGCCCAAUUUCCCCACAAUGAUCAUUAAAGUUUUAUCUUAUCUUACAGCCUUGUUAUUUAUGUGCAGCUUGGAAUCGUAAAGGGCAAGCAACGAGCAAUGUGGUUAAAAAAAAAAGAGAAAAGAAAAUGGUUAUUAAACAUUAGAUUGGCCGGUUUUUAUCACCGCAAUUUGGAAAUAAAAAGUGGGAUGCCAAAUUGAAAGUUUUGGCUACAGAUAAACAGCUCUUCCCUGAACAGCAGUCUUUAGGUGCUUGGAUGAACAAAAACUAAGAGAGAAAUACGGCAGAAUGAAAAACCACAAAUCAAGUUUCAGGACCGAGUGGCUCUGAGAUAAAAGGUUUUGUGAUGGCUUAUUAUUUUGUCCCCUGUGGACUAAUUACCACAGUUUUCUCUCUAACCUUCUCCAGCCUAGUUACGGUGCCAAAUUUGGGGAGGAUGAGGGGAGACUUUAAAUUAUAAGAGUAAGAGGGAAGCAGACAAAUAUAAAGAAGAAGAAAAAAAUCUUCAUUUUUUUCUUAAAUGCAAAACCUUUUAUAACAUUAAAUGCAGCAUGCCAAAAGAAAGUGAUUGCCUUUAUUUUGAAUCUUUGAAUCCUCCAUAAUGCAUAGUUUUCAAUUAAAUUAGGAGAAAACAGCUAUGAUUAACAAAUAUACACUUAGUUUCAUAGACAUUUACUGUUAAAAGGAAGCAUCACAAAUAUAGGCAAUGUGAUAUAGCUAGUCCCUGUCAUUCAACCGUCACACUAUGACAUCCUCAGAAACAGUUCUGUUUGAAAUUUAAGGGUUUUGCAGACAUAAUGAAGCAGCUGUUCAGAUUUUCAAGUAGACACAGCUAUACUAAGCUAUUACAAUAUCUAGAUUAUAUUUACUAUUCUCCGAACAUGCAGUUAUUACUCUACCCCAGAUGUGUUGUUUUAGAAAUAAAACACCAUCUUCAGGUAACUACCAUCGAACAGUCCAAAUAAAGCAUGCAGUCCUGUCUACACAGCUUUUUUUUUUUUUCAGUGGAGGAGUACUUUGUUAUCGAGUCCCUGGAUAACACGCAUUCAGUAUCUUUUCUUUAUCACACUGAUGAGGGGACUUGGACUCUGAAGAGCUGAGCCUCUUUGUAUUCUCAGUCACUCAAGUCUUUUUGGCUUAGUUCAGCUGGAUGAGACGAUUAGGUUAAAGGUGUGCAGCAGCGUCAACUAAAAACAUGCAUUCCUGUUCAGAGCAGCACAUUCCAACUCAAACCAAACAUUAAGGAGAAUUCCCAGCACUUAAUCGUUUUUACAAACCCGUGUGGUAGCAGACUUGCUUAUCACAAGUUUAGCAAAAAUUUACAUUUCCCUAAAAAUUAUCCCAUUUCGUUUUUUUUUUUAAUUUCUUAAAUUUUUUUUUAGAUCUCAUCUCGACAUUUAUUUCAAACUUUGCCAUGAGAUCACAAACCCUUAUAAGCUCUGACCACAGCUAACGCUUGUGCGGACUGGUUUUAUAGACAACAUAUACACUAUGCUAUCGUUCUGCCUCUCUCUCUGUGUAGGUCACUCUUUAAUAGUGCAGAGACAUUAGAAAAAGUCGAGGUUCCUCGCCAUGACGUUGGCCGUGGUCUCGGCCAACUCGUGGUCUGCCAUCACUGAAGACUUAGAUGAAAAAUUUCAGCACUAGCACUGUGUCUUCAUAAAACGGGCAGGUUGGGGGUAAUUAGCAAAACGGGGCCAUGGUAAUCAUUAGAAGUUAAAUAAAACAAACAAACAAACCAAAGAAAAGGUUAGGACAAUUUUAAGUUUUUGAAAAAAUGAAUAUUUCUUUAUAAUGUGUGUGGGGUUCCUACAAUUGGGCUAGAUUGCCACCGUUAUUAUUAUUAUUACUAUUAUUAAUAUUAAUAUGAUUGAUUUUCUUUGUUUUUAAUCUCAUGGCAGGGUGCUUGUGAAAAUGCGUAUACGUUAUGUCACUUGUUUAUAGUUUUGUGGUUGUGUUAAUUUGCCUAUUGUAGACCAAAAUAGAUUUUCUUUUUUUAAAAAUAAGAAAUGCAACAAAACAUAAAAAUGAAUCUGACACAAUAGCUGUGAUGUAAACUAUUGCAUGUUAAAACAUGUAUAAGAUUGUAAAUGUUGCAUUGUUCCUCUGGCAAAACAUAAUAAUCAUUGGUUACGUCUUCUAUACACACAUUUAGCAAAUCGGUGUACACUUUCACCUUCACAUUGGAUUGUGUUUAAUAUAUUUAAGGCUGUCCCUAGUAACUAAUCUGACAUUGUAACUUAAGAGUACAUUCAGCCAUUUAUACUUGAGAUGGACCAAGAUGUUAAGUUUGCACAUAUUUGUAAGUUGUUUAUUAAGCCAAAAAAAAAAAAAAUGGAAAAAAAAAAAUUAUACACAACUUUAAGUCUCAGCAACUCAAAUCUAGUUUAGGUGCUCGUCACCUAUUAACAAAUCGACCUUAAUGUUCGCUGAAAGAAAGGCAACAAAGCCGGUUGUCACUGCGCAACAAAAGUAAAUUCAAACCAAACUGUACGAUGGAUUUCAACAUCGCGACGUGAUUAGGUAUUAUUUAUCAAAGUGAUUCAAAAAAAGAGUAUAUUUUUGUAAUAGCGAAUGUAAAUCAUUUGGCAACAAUUAGUUUUAUAACUAUGAGGUCCAAAUCUGGGUAAAAUCUGCUGUAUUUGUUCAUCCUGUGUAUUCAAAAUAGAAAAUUGAAUUACUGUAAUUCAGGCAGGGUUUUUUUUUUUUGUUUUUUUUUUUUAAAUCAAAACCCGGGCCGAAGAUAUUAACAUUUAAAAUCCAAAAUUACACGCACCCUUUUUAAAAAGCAGCUUAGGUUUGAUUUUGAUUUUUCUUCUUCUUCCAUCGUGCUUUCAGGCUUUUUGCUGCCAUAUCAUGUACCUAGAUGCUUUUGUAAACAUGCACAUGAGUUGAAAUUUGAGAUGUGGUUAUAAAUAUGUGUAUAUUUUGUCAGGCUUUUUUUUUUUUUUGCCUAUGUCAGCUUUUGAUUUUGACUAUUUCCCUUCAUAAAAAAAGAAAAAAAAAGACAUCUCUUAUAUAGUUAUGAACUUGGCAGAAGUGGAGCUGUUGUAGUAAAGUUAGUUAACAUCACAACUAAGCAACCCUGAAAUAUAUGCUGCAGUAAUGUGUUCAGUUUGUUUUUGAUAAUUUAUGCUCCAAGUUGGUUUGUAUGUUGUUAUUAUUGUUGUUAUGAAACAAGCUUGUAUGAAAUGUAUUGACUGCUGUUUUGAAAUAGGGGAUAAAGUUUUUUCUUUUCUUUUUUCUUUUUUUAAAUGUAUGUGCAAGGAUGUUUUUAUAAUAUGAUUUGUCAAACACUGGACUGGAGUGAGUUUUCCAACAUUUCCAAGUUGAGAGAUGUAUUUGACAGACAUAACUGCACAGGCAACACCCGUUAGCACCGAUGUGAGCUGACAGACAAAGCACACCCUCCCCCCGCUGUACACGGGAGGGUGAGUAACAUGGCCGCCAUCCUCCCGAUCAAAAUAGGAGUUAUUUGGAUAGAAGGAGUUACCAUAUUUCCUUUUGUGCUGGUUAAUUGCAUUCAGUAGGUGAUGGGUUAUAUAUAAAAAUAUAUAUAUAUAUUUAAUAGGAACUAUUUAUUAGGGAUGUCCUUCAAAAUUGUUGUUAUGGCAUAGACUGGUGACAGAUUUGUUUUUCUUUUCUGGAAAAGAAAAUUCAUAAAGGGAUACCACUUCACAGCUAAGUAGUUGUCAGAAUCACCCGAUAUGUUCUUUCUAGAGCAGAUUUAACAGUUGCCUCUCAUUACACCUACCACCACUUCUCAAACCAGAUAAGAGAUUUGCACUAGACUGAUUUUGGUCUUAUUCUAUCAAAAGCAAUAUAAUUCACACGACACAUAUUUGAACCAUAGUAUGGGACGCUUGUCCUCACCAUGGGAAUGCUGAGUAAAUGGUGAUAUUUGACGUGUUUUACUUUGUUUUGUUUUUUUUGUAUUCAAAGGUACAGAAUUGGUUUUUUAAAUGCACAUGACAUCCAUAUAUUGCUGUUUGUAGCAGGGUUCUUUUUUUUCUCCCCUCGCCCCUUUUUCCUUCUUCUUCUUCUUCUUUUUUUUAUGUUAAAUUUACCCAGCAGUACCCUGAGUAUUAGUGUCCAGAUUUGAGGGGCAUUAAAACUGUUGUUUCCUCCUGUGAUUGUUUUGGACAAAUCAAGCAGCUCUUACAGAUCCGAAGUGAGAGUAGGGAUGUUAUGAGGGAUGGAAUCGUUCACCACGAGUCAGUCGUCUUCAUCACACAAGCCAACAUGUUUAGAAAUAAACACAAAUGCCAAAAGAGAAACCCAGCUGUCCGCCGUCGUGCACACCUUUCCCUUAAAAACUUUGAGUGAUAUUUUUCUGGGAUGUUCCAGAAAAAAAAAAAAUGCUUUAAAACGAAACAAUAAUGAAAAAACGAAAAUCCAAAAUGCAUCUUUUUUUUUUUUUGUUCUUCUUUUCGUCAAUGAACGCACCAUCAUUGGCUGCUUAUGUAGAGAAGCCACCAAAAUGUAUCAUACGUCAUUUUCAAUUAGGGUCAUUUACCGGCAGCAUUAGCGAUCGGCCCGAACGUCACUAUAUUUUUCUGAUAAAUAAGUGUAAAUUUUUCAAAAAUUCACAAAGAGCAAAACGUCACCAUUUUAUCUGGAUGUAGUAGCUUUCCUGUUUUCACCGCUUUGUGGUGUUGUUGAAAGAUGUUGCGGUUUGUCUAAAUUUGUUGCGUGUUAGAGGAAGCAUAAGUAUGUGCCUUCUUGUAAUCUCCUUGGUGAGCUUGUUAUUAUUGAGAAGCUGAAGCCAGCCAAUUGUGUUUGCACUAAAACCAAAUUGCUUUUUGUGAUGUAGACUAUUUAAGCAAGCUUGUUGCGUCACUUUAACCGUACAGUAUGCAUGAGGGUGAAAUUGGUAAGUCUAGGGCUAGAGCUCUCAUCUGUUGACCUGUAAACCAGUGCAGCUUAGAGGAUCUUGUGAAUAUAUCUUGGCUUAGUUUCGCAUUUAGUUUUCAAAUUCCAUCUCCUUACUCAUCCAGUUUUUCACGACAGUUAAAGGUAAAACGAAACAAAAACAGAAAAAACAACACAAAAAAAAAAAUCAAAUAACACAUACCAUUUUACCGAUACAAUACAGCUUUUACUUUCACAUGCCACAGUUAGAGUUACACAACUGCAGAAGAGAUUUUCAUUUUUCUGAAUCCAUGGGAACGCAUGAGUAUACGAGGUCGCCUCGAGACUAUUGGUCAAAUUCAUUUAGGUCGUUUUUGAAGACUUGUAUUUAUUGCAUAUUUCGUUGACAUCUAAGAAAGGCCUACAUCAUGCUUUUGAGUCUUACAAAUGCACCUUAUUCAUGUCAGUCCAUGUGGGGUAAAAAAGGAAAAAAAAAAAAGGCUGGCAGUGUAAUAUCUCUGAUUUUAGCACCUUACUACACAGCAUGUUUUCACUUUAUGCCAGUUUAACUAUUCUUCCAUAUGUAUGAUUUCAAAAAUAAAUCUCAUUCUUUGUGAAAUUGUUUCAUGGGAUGUGCCAAAGUUUGGAGGCGAUCUCCCAAGUGUUUAUGCUUAUCAUAUUUUUUUUUCUCCUCCUCCUUCAGUUAUAGCAAGGGUAUGUCAGAACUUUCCUAUAACAGUGUGUGGAAUCAAUUUAUCUCAGCAAACAGUAUCAUUACUUGCCAUUUUACAAUAAGCCCUGUAUUUCACAUAUAUUUACCAGUGAUGUGUAUUUGUUAUUAUAAAGAAAAUAGCCGUAAAAGCUUCAUUAUGUUACAUAAUAUUGUGACUUUUUUCGAAAAACUGUGAAGACUUAUCUUGCAUAUACUUUAUACAGAAGUAUUAAGCCUUAAUACAAAAGACUAAAAAAAGUGUGGAAGAAUAAACUGAUUGUUGCUAAGUAAGGAUGAUUUUUGUAAAUGUUACCAGCACUUUUUUUGUAAUUUUCACUCUCUGAGGUAUUGUACAAGUUCAAGCUGUUUGUGAAGUUUGAUUAUGAAGGAAUAAAAACUAGUACUUUCCUGUACUUCACAGAAA